Molecule: ribosomal RNA, 479 nt
Filed under: uncultured bacterium
Lineage: Bacteria
Description: partial 16S ribosomal RNA
Rfam family: Bacterial small subunit ribosomal RNA
Source: RNAcentral
UGGGGAAUAUUGCACAAUGGGCGAAAGCCUGAUGCAGCGACGCCGCGUGCGGGAUGAAGGCCUUCGGGUUGUAAACCGCUUUUAAUUGGGAGCAAGCGAGAGUGAGUGUACCUUUUGAAUAAGCACCGGCUAACUACGUGCCAGCAGCCGCGGUAAUACGUAGGGUGCAAGCGUUAUCCGGAAUUAUUGGGCGUAAAGAGCUCGUAGGCGGUUUGUCACGCCUGGUGUGAAAGUCCAUCGCUUAACGGUGGAUCUGCGCCGGGUACGGGCAGGCUAGAGUGCAGUAGGGGAGAUUGGAAUUCCCGGUGUAACGGUGGAAUGUGUAGAUAUCGGGAAGAACACCAAUGGCGAAGCCAGAUCUCUGGGCUGUUACUGACGCUGAGGAGCGAAAGCAUGGGGAGCGAACAGGAUUAGAUACCCUGGUAGUCCAUGCCGUAAACGGUGGAUGCUGGAUGUGGGGCCCUUCCACGGGCUCCGUG